This 2099-nucleotide long non-coding RNA is filed under the name Cicer arietinum (chickpea). RNAcentral's name for it is "long non-coding RNA (CARI_LNC000542)". Lineage: Eukaryota; Viridiplantae; Streptophyta; Magnoliopsida; Fabales; Fabaceae. The record is from RNAcentral.
CUAUCCGUUUAUCCUAGUAGUAAAUUGUAAUGUGAGUUGAUAGGAAGCAGGAAGUAGACACCGACCACGUGUUCACGCGCAUUAGAAGAUGCCAAGAUGCAACUCAACAGUGUAAUGCAAGUUGAAACUACUACAGAAGAAAACAAAACCCACACAACAAGGUCAUAAAACCAAACCAAAUCAAACCAGUACAGCACAGCACACCACCGACCAUCUGACUCAGUCCUCGUCAGCUCCCCCAUCUCACACCAUUCAACCCUUCAAGUGUCUCACUAGUACAACUACUACUUAUUAAUCUCAUUUCAAUUGACUCAUCAAUUAUGAUUACAAAUAAAAAAUAAUUGAUUUUUAAAUACUAACUGAUUUGCUAAAUAAAAACUUAGACUUAAAGCUUUGAUUCAAACGCCUUUAUUCAUUUUUACGCCUUGUUUGAAACAUUCUCAAUAAACUAUUCCUUACUUAAUUAAUUAGUCUUACUUAGCUCCCUUUGACCUCGUGUGUCAAACAAGUACCUCUCCCUCAACCUCCAUCUCCAUUAUUCCUAUAUAUAAACAAAUCUCCACAACUUCUUUUCCUUCAUCAUAGUCACAACAAAUCAUCCUUACAAACACAAACAACAGCAACAUGAACAUCAAAAACAAAAUCAACAACAAAAACAAACUCAAACUCAGAUCUGGAUUUUUUGUGUGAUAUUUUUUACAUUUACAAUAAAAACAUAAAAACAUAAAAAAACACUAUCAUAAUUAUUACGGAUCCAAUGAUAUUUUUUACACAAAUUUUAAAUACUAAAAUAUGAAGAGGAAGAAAAGGAAGCAUAAAAAAACACUCAUAAUUCUUCCGGAUCCAAUGAUAUUUUUCACACAAAUUUAAGAGGAAGAACUUCCUCCACCGGAGCUACUUCCUCCACCGGAGCUUCCUGUGCCGGAGCUUCCUCCGCCAGCUGAACCUCUGUCGCCGGUGUUGCUCUCUUCUUUCGUGCCCAGUAGAUGAGCACGGCCAUUAACAUGGCCACUACCGCCGUAGAAGAUCAUAGAGACAAACCAUUUUAGCAUGGUGGAAGAUAGGGUCGGCUCCGCCAGCUACACCUCUGUCGUCGGUGUUGCUCCCUUCUUUCGUGCGCAGUAGAUGAGCACGGCCAUUAACAUGGCCACUACCGCCGAUGAUUGGGACAAGCCAUUUUGGCCGUCAUGGUUGAGAUCAGGGUGUUGAAACGUGACAUGGUGGAAGAUAGGGUCGGCGGCGGUGGUGUUUAGCGAGGCAGUGGUGGGCGAGGCAGUGGUGUUGGGAAAGGACAUUUUCGGAGGACUGUGGAAGAAUGAGGAUGAUGAGAAUGAGGAUGAUGAAAAUGAACAUGAUAUAUGUAUAUAUAUAGGAUGAAACCCAGAGGUAGAUGAGUUUGGAUGUUUCAUUAACUGAUGAGUGAGAGAAGGGGUUAUCAACAACAAAGUGUUUGAGCUUCUCCGAUUUAGCCAUUGCAAAAUUUGGAAGUGGACAGAAAAGGAAAAGAAAGAGAUGAAUAAGGAGUGGCUAUUUCUAUUUUCUUUAAUUCGUUACCAAUUGUGGAAUGGGAGUGGUUGCAACUGCACUGCACACUAUUAAACGUGCCUAAUAAAUUCAUUCAAGCUGGACCACAUGUAGUUCACUUCAAAAUAUAUCUGAAAAUUCUUCCUUUCACAAUAUUAAACAGCAAAAUGCACUUUAACAUAUAAAGGGGUAUGUAAAAGGCCACUAGAUCAUUUUAAAUUAAAUUAUCAACGGCGCAUAUAUAAUCUUAUAAAUGUUCACUUUUUUCAUCUUUGACUUUUUCCAUUUUUGAGUGAGAUUUGGAUGACAAAAAAGUUUGGAUAAAUAUAUAUAUUAUUCAGAAAAUUCCUUUGGAUGCAUUAGCCAUGGGAAUAUUUAAUAAUAUGAGAUGUCUUUAAAAUUGCUAAAAGAAAAUAUACUUAAGAAGGAGAGAAUAAUACUUAAGAAGGAUAGAAUAAUUAAUUAGUCAUUUUUAAUUUUAUAUAUGAUGUUUUAAUUUAUGAAAGUUGUCGUAGGAGAGUGUGAAAACUAUAUAUGCAUACUUCAAUUACAAGCAUUACUUUUUUCUUUUUAUU